GAAGCGGUUGCGCACAGGCAGCGCGUGCGGCGCGCAUGCGCGAAGCCCGGGGUUCAAAUCCCCGACGCUCCG
This 72-nucleotide transfer RNA is filed under the name Geranomyces variabilis. RNAcentral describes it as "tRNA-Ala". Lineage: Eukaryota; Fungi; Chytridiomycota; Chytridiomycetes; Spizellomycetales; Powellomycetaceae. The record is from RNAcentral.